RNAcentral lists this unclassified non-coding RNA (221 nucleotides) under Hevea brasiliensis (rubber tree). The record is from RNAcentral. Lineage: Eukaryota; Viridiplantae; Streptophyta; Magnoliopsida; Malpighiales; Euphorbiaceae.
AAAGAGCAGCCUCCGAAGAAGUUUUUGGAUCUUGCUAAUGAAUUUGUAACACUUAGUGGGGGAUUACCUCUGGCUUUGGAAAUUUUUGGAUCUUCAUUGUUCUAUAAGAAAGGAUUGAAGGAGUGGGAAGAUGUAGUGCAAAAGUUUAGACAGAUCCGUCCAGGUGAACUUCAAGAUAUCUUAGAAAUAAGUUUUGGUGCUCUAGAUGAACAAGAAAGGUG